GACGAACGCUGGCGGCGUGCCUAAUACAUGCAAGUCGAGCGCAGGAAACUGACGGAACUCUUCGGAGGGAAGGCAGUGGAAUGAGCGGCGGACGGGUGAGUAACACGUAAGGAACCUGCCUCAAGGAUUGGGAUAACUCCGAGAAAUCGGAGCUAAUACCGGAUAGUUCAUCGGACCGCAUGGUCCGUUGAUGAAAGGCGCUCCGGCGUCACCUUGAGAUGGCCUUGCGGUGCAUUAGCUAGUUGGUGGGGUAACGGCCCACCAAGGCGACGAUGCAUAGCCGACCUGAGAAGGUGAUCGGCCACACUGGGACUGAGACACGGCCCAGACUGCUACGGGAGGCAGCAGUAGGGAGUCUUCCACAAUGGACGAAAGUCUGAUGGAGCAACGCCGCGUGAGUGAUGAAGGUUUUCGGAUCGUAAAACUCUGUUGUAAGGGAAGAACACGUACGAGAGGAAAUGCUCGUACCUUGACGGUACCUUACGAGAAAGCCACGGCUAACUACGUGCCAGCCGCCGCAGUAA
RNAcentral lists this ribosomal RNA (524 nucleotides) under uncultured bacterium. RNAcentral describes it as "partial 16S ribosomal RNA". It matches the Rfam family "Bacterial small subunit ribosomal RNA", at positions 28 to 523 of the family's 1533-position model. The record is from RNAcentral.